Molecule: non-coding RNA, 73 nt
Organism: Potamilus streckersoni
Lineage: Eukaryota; Metazoa; Mollusca; Bivalvia; Unionida; Unionidae
Source: the annotation of a GenBank genome assembly
GCUCCAGUGGCCUAGUGGUUAGAGUGUCCGCCUCGUAUGCGAGAGGUCGCGGGUUUAGACCCUGGCCGAGUCA